GACGAACGCUGGCGGCGUGCUUAACACAUGCAAGUCGAACGGUAAGGCUCCAGUUUGCUGGGAUACACGAGUGGCGAACGGGUGAGUAACACGUGGGUGACCUGCCCUGCACUUCGGGAUAAGCCUGGGAAACUGGGUCUAAUACCGGAUAGGACCGCACCGCGUGGGUGGGGUUGGAAGUUUUUUCGGUGUGGGAUGGGCCUGCGGCCUAUCCGCUUUUUGGUGGGGUAAUGGCCUACCAAGGCGGCGCCGGGUAGCCGGCCUGGGGGGGUGGACGGCCACAUUGGGACUGAGACACGGCCCAGACUCCUACGGGAGGCAGCAGUGGGGAUUAUUGCACAAUGGGCGGAAGCCUGAUGCAGAGACGCCGCGUGGGGGAUGACGGCCUUCGGGUUGUAACCGCCUUUCACCAUCGACGAAGGGUUUCUGACGGUAGAUGGAGAAGAAGCACCGGCUAACUACGUG
This 465-nucleotide ribosomal RNA is filed under the name uncultured bacterium. Its description in RNAcentral is "partial 16S ribosomal RNA". It matches the Rfam family "Bacterial small subunit ribosomal RNA", at positions 28 to 507 of the family's 1533-position model. The record is from RNAcentral.